UACGGGGGAUGCAAGCGUUAUCCGGAUUUAUUGGGUUUAAAGGGUGCGUAGGCUGUGAGGUAAGUCAGCGGUGAAAUGCCCCCGCUCAACGGGGUGAAGUGCCAUUGAUACUGCCUUGCUGGAAUGCGGAUGCCGUGGGAGGAAUGUGUGGUGUAGCGGUGAAAUGCUUAGAUAUCAGGAGGAAUACCGUUAGCGAAGGCGGCAAUCUGGCUGGAAACUGACGCUGAGGUGCGAAAGCGUGGGUAGCAAACAGG
RNAcentral lists this ribosomal RNA (254 nucleotides) under uncultured bacterium. RNAcentral describes it as "partial 16S ribosomal RNA". It matches the Rfam family "Bacterial small subunit ribosomal RNA", at positions 524 to 776 of the family's 1533-position model. The record is from RNAcentral.